GUUUUAAUAGUUUAAAAAAAAACAUUGGUCUUGUAAACCAAAAAUAAGAAAAACACUUUUAAAACU
Molecule: transfer RNA, 66 nt
Filed under: Aiolopus thalassinus
Lineage: Eukaryota; Metazoa; Arthropoda; Insecta; Orthoptera; Acrididae
Description: tRNA-Thr
Rfam family: tRNA
About the family: Transfer RNA (tRNA) molecules are approximately 80 nucleotides in length. Their secondary structure includes four short double-helical elements and three loops (D, anti-codon, and T loops).
Source: RNAcentral